This 492-nucleotide ribosomal RNA is filed under the name uncultured bacterium. Its description in RNAcentral is "partial 16S ribosomal RNA". It matches the Rfam family "Bacterial small subunit ribosomal RNA", at positions 29 to 507 of the family's 1533-position model. The record is from RNAcentral.
AGUGAACGCUGGCGGUAGGCCUAACACAUGCAAGUCGAACGGCAGCACAGUAAGAGCUUGCUCUUACGGGUGGCGAGUGGCGGACGGGUGAGGAAUACAUCGGAAUCUACUUUUUCGUGGGGGAUAACGUAGGGAAACUUACGCUAAUACCGCAUACGACCUACGGGUGAAAGCAGGGGAUCUUCGGACCUUGCGCGAUUGAAUGAGCCGAUGUCGGCUUAGCUCGUUGGCGGGGUAAAGGCCCACCAAGGCGACGAUCCGUAGCUGGUCUGAGAGGAUGAUCAGCCACACUGGAACUGAGACACGGUCCAGACUCCUACGGGAGGCAGCAGUGGGGAAUAUUGGACAAUGGGCGCAAGCCUGAUCCAGCCAUACCGCGUGGGUGAAGAAGGCCUUCGGGUUGUAAAGCCCUUUUGUUGGGAAAGAAAAGCAGCAGGUUAAUACCCCGCUGUUCUGACGGUACCCAAAGAAUAAGCACCGGCUAACUUCGUG